This 406-nucleotide ribosomal RNA is filed under the name uncultured bacterium. RNAcentral describes it as "partial 16S ribosomal RNA". It matches the Rfam family "Bacterial small subunit ribosomal RNA", at positions 30 to 526 of the family's 1533-position model. The record is from RNAcentral.
AUUGAACGCUGGCGGCAGGCUUAACACAUGCAAGUCGAACGGGUGGCGGCGGGGUGAGUAAUGCUUGGGGAUCUAGCUUAUGGAGGGGGAUAACUACGGGUAACUGUAGCUACUACCGCGUACCGUAGGAUGAUCCCAAGUGGGAUUAGGUCGUUGGUGGGGUAACGGCUCACCAAGGCGACGAUCCCUAGCUGGUUUGAGAGGACGACCAGCCACACUGGAACUGAGACACGGUCCAGAAUCCUACGGGAGGCAGCAGUGGGGAAUAUUGGACAAUGGGGGAAACCCUGAUCCAGCCAUGCCGCGUGUGCGAAGAAGGCCUUCGGGUUGUAAAGCACUUUUGGCAGGAAAGCGGUACCUGCAGAAUAAGCACCGGCUAACUACGUGCCAGCAGCCGCGGUAAUAC